This 253-nucleotide ribosomal RNA is filed under the name uncultured bacterium. RNAcentral's name for it is "partial 16S ribosomal RNA". It matches the Rfam family "Bacterial small subunit ribosomal RNA", at positions 524 to 776 of the family's 1533-position model. The record is from RNAcentral.
UACGUAGGGUGCAAGCGUUGUCCGGAAUCAUUGGGCGUAAAGCGCGUGUAGGCGGUCCGGUAAGUCCGCUGUGAAAGUCGGGGGCUCAACCCUCGAAUGCCGGUGGAUACUGUCGGGCUAGAGUGCGGAAGAGGCGAGUGGAAUUCCUGGUGUAGCGGUGAAAUGCGCAGAUAUCAGGAGGAACACCAAUUGCGAAGGCAGCUCGCUGGGACGUUACUGACGCUGAGACGCGAAAGCGUGGGGAGCAAACAGG